UUGACGGGGCCCGCACAAGCGGUGGAGCAUGUGGUUAAUUCGAAGCAACGCGAAGAACCUUACCAGGUCUUGACAUCCCUGACAACCGAGAGAUCGGGCGUUCCCCCUUCGGGGGGACAGGGUGACAGGUGGUGCAUGGUUGUCGUCAGCUCGUGUCGUGAGAUGUUGGGUUAAGUCCCGCAACGAGCGCAACCCUCGACCUUAGUUGCCAGCAUUCAGUUGGGCACUCUAAGGUGACUGCCGGCUAAAAGUCGGAGGAAGGUGGGGAUGACGUCAAAUCAUCAUGCCCCUUAUGACCUGGGCUACACACGUGCUACAAUGGGCGGUACAAAGGGUCGCGAACCCGCGAGGGGGAGCCAAUCCCGAAAAGCCGGUCUCAGUCCGGAUUGGAGUCUGCAACUCGACUCCAUGAAGUUGGAAUCGCUAGUAAUCGCGGAUCAGCACGCCGCGGUGAAUACGUUCCCGGGCCUU
This 471-nucleotide ribosomal RNA is filed under the name uncultured Anoxybacillus sp. RNAcentral describes it as "bacterial SSU rRNA". It matches the Rfam family "Bacterial small subunit ribosomal RNA", at positions 910 to 1382 of the family's 1533-position model. Lineage: Bacteria; Bacillati; Bacillota; Bacilli; Caryophanales; Anoxybacillaceae. The record is from RNAcentral.